Molecule: long non-coding RNA, 381 nt
Filed under: Lathyrus oleraceus (garden pea)
Lineage: Eukaryota; Viridiplantae; Streptophyta; Magnoliopsida; Fabales; Fabaceae
Description: Pisum sativum (pea) long non-coding RNA (PSAT_LNC023962)
Source: RNAcentral
UUUCACUCUCCAACAAACAAUGCAAAAGUCAAUUUAAUUCAUACAAUGUCUAACAAUUAUAAAUGAAAAUGCGGAAGCACGAAGAUCACUAAGGUCUUUUCCGGUUGUAGCUUGGUCAGAUUUACAAACAAGGGUCAUAUCUAAGGCCAUUGAAAACGAACUUGCCGAUGCAAAAGAGACAUUCAAUGUACAAGCUAUUCACACAUCUCAACUUCUUUCCAUUUGUUUCUCAUUUGAAACCUUCACAACUCUUAUUUCACAACUCAAUUUUGUUUUUCACUAUUUUUCUUCCAAGCAAGCAUUCAUUUUCAUUUUCUCUAUUUUUUUUUCACAUCUUAUUCACAAAACAGAUAAUUCUCUUUUCUAAUAUAUAUAUUUUUU